Molecule: transfer RNA, 54 nt
Filed under: Achelia bituberculata
Lineage: Eukaryota; Metazoa; Arthropoda; Pycnogonida; Pantopoda; Ammotheidae
Description: tRNA-Ala
Source: RNAcentral
UAGGCAACGAAUUUUGAUUUGCAAUUAAUAAAAGUUAUUUUAAACCUUGUCUAU